AGAGUUUGAUCCUGGCUCAGAUUGAACGCUGGCGGCAUGCCUAACACAUGCAAGUCGAACGGUAACAGGCCGCAAGGUGCUGACGAGUGGCGAACGGGUGAGUAAUACGUAGGUAUCUGCCCUGUAGUGGGGGAUAACCCGGGGAAACUCGGGCUAAUACCGCAUACGCUCUUUUAUCGUUGAGAUAGGAGAGGAAAGCGAGGGACCGAAAGGCCUCGCGCUAGAGGAUGAGCCUACGCCCGAUUAGCUAGUUGGUAGGGUAAAAGCCUACCAAGGCGACGAUCGGUAGCUGGUCUGAGAGGAUGGCCAGCCACACUGGGACUGAGACACGGCCCAGACUCCUACGGGAGGCAGCAGUGGGGAAUAUUGGACAAUGGGGGAAACCCUGAUCCAGCGAUGCCGCGUGGGUGAAGAAGGCCUGCGGGUUGUAAAGCCCUUUCAGUGGGGAAGAAAAACGGGGUGUGAACAGCGCUUCGUUUUGACGUUACCCACAGAAGAAGCACCGGCUAACUCCGUGCCAGCAGCCGCGGUAAUACGGAGGGUGCGAGCGUUAAUCGGAAUUACUGGGCGUAAAGGGCGCGUAGGCGGUUGGGUAAGUCGGGUGUGAAAGCCCUGGGCUUAACCUGGGAAUGGCAUUCGAGACUACCUAUCUAGAGUCUGGUAGAGGGAAGUGGAAUUUCCGGUGUAGCGGUGAAAUGUGUAGAUAUCGGAAGGAACACCAGUGGCGAAGGCGACUUCCUGGACCAAGACUGACGCUGAGGCGCGAAAGCGUGGGGAUCAAACAGGAUUAGAUACCCCGGUAGUCC
Molecule: ribosomal RNA, 806 nt
Filed under: uncultured Chromatiales bacterium
Lineage: Bacteria; Pseudomonadati; Pseudomonadota; Gammaproteobacteria; Chromatiales
Description: bacterial SSU rRNA
Rfam family: Bacterial small subunit ribosomal RNA
Source: RNAcentral